GAGAGUAUAAAAACUCCCAAACCCCUGUGAACAUACCUACCGUUGCCUCGGCGGCGCCCCCCGGGGACCGCCGAAGGCCCACUAAACUCUUGUCAUAUCUUGCAACUCUGAAUACCAAAACAAAUAAGUUA
This 131-nucleotide unclassified non-coding RNA is filed under the name uncultured Xylariaceae. RNAcentral's name for it is "sequence contains ITS1". The record is from RNAcentral. Lineage: Eukaryota; Fungi; Ascomycota; Sordariomycetes; Xylariales; Xylariaceae.